Molecule: unclassified non-coding RNA, 282 nt
Filed under: Geopora sp.
Lineage: Eukaryota; Fungi; Ascomycota; Pezizomycetes; Pezizales; Pyronemataceae
Description: partial contains small subunit ribosomal RNA, internal transcribed spacer 1, and 5.8S ribosomal RNA
Rfam family: Eukaryotic small subunit ribosomal RNA (bases 1-46)
Source: RNAcentral
AAGUCGUAACAAGGUUUCCGUAGGUGAACCUGCGGAAGGAUCAUUAAUCGAAUGAACAUGUUUCUCAGCAUGAAUUUCAAAACCCAUCUGUGUACCAUACCUGUUGCUUCCGUGCUGCGCAUGCAGUAAAGCGUGCCGCCAAGGCCAACUCUCCGAGCUUGGAGGGGUCCCUGGUGUGUCGGCACGGAAGGUUUUACAGCAAACUCUUGCAUUUCCAUGUCUUCUGUCUGAACUGUCAUAUACAAUAAGUUAAAACUUUCAACAACGGAUCUCUUGGUUCUC